Molecule: ribosomal RNA, 253 nt
Filed under: uncultured bacterium
Lineage: Bacteria
Description: partial 16S ribosomal RNA
Rfam family: Bacterial small subunit ribosomal RNA
Source: RNAcentral
UACGUAGGGGGCUAGCGUUGUCCGGAUUUAUUGGGCGUAAAGCGCGUGUAGGCGGCCAGAUAGGUCCGUUGUGAAAACCCGAGGCUCAACCUCGGGACGCCGACGGAAACCAUUUGGCUAGGGUCCGGAAGAGGAGAGUGGAAUUCCCGGUGUAGCGGUGAAAUGCGCAGAUAUCGGGAAGAACACCCGUGGCGAAGGCGGCUCUCUGGGACGGUACCGACGCUGAGACGCGAAAGCGUGGGGAGCGAACAGG